UUGAGACGGCUCCACGAAAAGGAUUCUGACGUACCAAGAAUAAGUAUUUGAGGCUAACCCCAGAUUUCUUGGUAUCAACUUUGGGUAGUUUAAUGGCUGACCUAGUGAAAUAGGUCCUGCUAGGGUUUAAGUAGUCUUGCAGAGGCAAUUUUACUUCUUCAUCUCUAGUUGAGAUUGAAUUAGUUUUAACAGGGAUUGCAGUCCCCUGUUCAUUUAUGAUUUGGUUAAUUGUGUUGCUUAGUUUACCUUUAGGUUCUCCUUGGACUACUCCUUCAUUAGCAUUAUUGGUAAGAGAAAACUUACCUGCUUCCGGCGGGGUGUCGUCGAUUGAUUUUUGAUGUGCAGCGUCGAUCGAUAUUUCCGUCGACUCGUCGCUCGAUG
Molecule: long non-coding RNA, 381 nt
Filed under: Brassica napus (rape)
Lineage: Eukaryota; Viridiplantae; Streptophyta; Magnoliopsida; Brassicales; Brassicaceae
Description: long non-coding RNA (BNAP_LNC015599)
Source: RNAcentral